Molecule: ribosomal RNA, 497 nt
Filed under: uncultured bacterium
Lineage: Bacteria
Description: partial 16S ribosomal RNA
Rfam family: Bacterial small subunit ribosomal RNA
Source: RNAcentral
GAUGAACGCUGGCGGCGUGCCUAAUACAUGCAAGUCGAGCGAACAGACGAGGAGCUUGCUCCUCUGAUGUUAGCGGCGGACGGGUGAGUAACACGUGGAUAACCUACCUAUAAGACUGGGAUAACUUCGGGAAACCGGAGCUAAUACCGGAUAACAUGUUGAACCGCAUGGUUCAACAGUGAAAGACGGUCUUGCUGUCACUUAUAGAUGGAUCCGCGCCGCAUUAGCUAGUUGGUAAGGUAACGGCUUACCAAGGCAACGAUGCGUAGCCGACCUGAGAGGGUGAUCGGCCACACUGGAACUGAGACACGGUCCAGACUCCUACGGGAGGCAGCAGUAGGGAAUCUUCCGCAAUGGGCGAGAGCCUGACGGAGCAACGCCGCGUGAGUGAAGACGGUCUUCGGAUCGUAAAACUCUGUUAUUAGGGAAGAACAAAUGUGUAAGUAACUAUGCACGUCUUGACGGUACCUAAUCAGAAAGCCACGGCUAACUACGUG